RNAcentral lists this ribosomal RNA (900 nucleotides) under uncultured bacterium. Its description in RNAcentral is "bacterial SSU rRNA". It matches the Rfam family "Bacterial small subunit ribosomal RNA", at positions 355 to 1257 of the family's 1533-position model. The record is from RNAcentral.
UGAGGAAUAUUGGUCAAUGGACGCAAGUCUGAACCAGCCAAGUAGCGUGCAGGAUGACGGCCCUAUGGGUUGUAAACUGCUUUUAUAUGGGGAUAAAGUGGGGAACGUGUUCCCUUUUGCAGGUACCAUAUGAAUAAGGACCGGCUAAUUCCGUGCCAGCAGCCGCGGUAAUACGGAAGGUUCGGGCGUUAUCCGGAUUUAUUGGGUUUAAAGGGAGCGUAGGCCGUUUGGUAAGCGUGUUGUGAAAUGUAGGAGCUCAACUUCUAGAUUGCAGCGCGAACUGUCAGACUUGAGUGCGCACAACGUAGGCGGAAUUCAUGGUGUAGCGGUGAAAUGCUUAGAUAUCAUGAAGAACUCCGAUUGCGAAGGCAGCUUACGGGAGCGCAACUGACGCUGAAGCUCGAAGGUGCGGGUAUCGAACAGGAUUAGAUACCCUGGUAGUCCGCACAGUAAACGAUGGAUGCCCGCUGUUAGCACCUAGUGUUAGCGGCUAAGCGAAAGCAUUAAGCAUCCCACCUGGGGAGUACGCCGGCAACGGUGAAACUCAAAGGAAUUGACGGGGGCCCGCACAAGCGGAGGAACAUGUGGUUUAAUUCGAUGAUACGCGAGGAACCUUACCCGGGCUUGAAUUGCAGAUGAACGAUUUAGAGAUAAUGAGGUCCUUCGGGACAUCUGUGAAGGUGCUGCAUGGUUGUCGUCAGCUCGUGCCGUGAGGUGUCGGCUUAAGUGCCAUAACGAGCGCAACCCCUUUCUUUAGUUGCCAUCAGGUUCUGCUGGGCACUCUGGAGAUACUGCCACCGUAAGGUGUGAGGAAGGUGGGGAUGACGUCAAAUCAGCACGGCCCUUACGUCCGGGGCUACACACGUGUUACAAUGGGUGGUACAGAUAGUUGGUCGUGUG